UAAAAAUUUUUUAUAUUUCUAUAAAAUUUGAAAUAAUAAAGCUAUAAUUUGAAAUAUAGCUAAACUUUCCUCUGUCUCCUUAAAGGUUUAUACCUAGGUGCUAGUCUACUGUGCUAAGUAAUUUGCCAGUUCAUGAUAAUUAGUAUCUGAUUGGGUUCUAGAUUUUAUUGUUAGACGGUCUCCAAGUUUGACUCAAUACCCACACUUUGAAAGAUACUUAUCUGUGCUGUCUUUAUCUGAGGUCUUGAGAAUGUCACCUUAGAGUCACCGGUCUCUUAUGAAGGACUUUGUGGCCUGCCUCCUGUCCUUUUGGACAGGUGGAGGUUAAGGAGCGGGGAGGGACGAUGCAAACAGAGUGCGGGUUGACUGCUGUUUCCCGAUCCUCCUUACGUUCCUAUCAAAGUUUAAAAAGAAGCAUCCCAAUUGUAAAACCCUCAACUCUGGUGGUAAUUUUUUUUAACCAUUGAGACUUUUUAGUUUUUUUCUUUAAUUGCAUUGAUUUUCAGUAAUAUCAUUGGAGUUUCUCCCUAUUUUUGCUCAUUUUGCUAGCAUGUCGUUGACAGUUGUUGCAGAGGAAAGCUUAAAAAUUAAGUUGGCAGUUAUUUCCUACCCUCACUGUUUCAUAUUAACUGUUGUCCUACUGUUCAGUCAGGAAAGUUCUACUGUUUAAUUAUAAAUGUUGCUAUAAAUACGUUAUAAGUUACAUUGUAAAUAUUGCUAAAACAUCAACAAGGAUUUCAGGCUGCUUGAGGGAAAAGCAGAACAAUUGACUAGAGCGUAUAAGCUAAUGAGCACGCUCUGAGCACGGUGAUGGGGUUCAGCAUCUCAGGUGAGGUUACGGAAGGUCCUGCCAGGCUGUGGCCCCGUUAGAGCAGGGGGCUGUCCAGCAGCCCGAGGGGCACCUGACCGACCCAGGAAUCUUCUCAGUCACUUAUGCUGUUCUUGAAACAACGUGAGCGCCACAUCGAAAUCACAUCCCCACACCUUGUGGGCAGUAGUUUCGAUCCGCAGGAUCCUCAGCCCCCAGUGAGGCUGUCAGGCGCCCUGUUGCCCUGUAGGGAGAACAAUAGGAGGAGAGGCACUGAGGGCAAAGGGCUCGUGACCUGAAAAACGUGACUUCUACUGAGAACUUUCUCUGUUACCCAGCCGCAAAACCCAGUGUCCACAGUGGGAUUUCUAAAGUCCCAAUUGCUUUUUCAGGUUGAAAUAAAGGAAGCAGGUGGUACUCUCACAAGUAACAAUCCGGAGGAAGCGACUUUUCAGAACCCUGUUGCCCCGGAACCCUGUUGCAAGUUGCCAUCAUCACAAGAAGCAGAGGAUGCCUCUGGCUGCGCUCAUAAGAAGGACGCCAACCCAAUGCUUGACAAUGGAGCUUUGCCAACCAUAGCCAAUGGGUCUGCUUUGCCCUCUGGAUCAGCUCUUCCAGGACCACCAAAAAUAACGUUGGCUGGAGUAACUCUUAGUUCAUGGGACACAAAGUCUAAAAAGCCAUGUAACUGUACCAAAUCCCAGUGUCUGAAAUUACAAAAGAGGGGCUGCCAAACCUCAAGUGAUGCCUGCGGAUGUGGUGUCCUGGGCAAUCACAGGACAGUAGACUGAAGAGUAGACUGAAGAAGGGGCACAAUGCAAAUACCUAGUGCAAGAAUACAUAGACUGCGUGUGGCGGUGAUAACAAAGCAUGAACUCACAGGAAUCAGGCAUUCUCUGAACGACCACCAUCGACAUUCAUUCAUCAACCUGGAGGCAGUCCAAUUUUCUGCCGUUGAGGACUUGGAACCUUAAGUCUCUCUUGACCAAGCCCGCCAAGUGGGGGAGCCUGAGACCAGCGAGGACUGUGCUUCUCCAGCUCUCUUCUUGCUGCUACCUCUGAUGCUGUGACCAACCUGGCCUCUUAGGAGGGGAAAGCAAUUUUGCAUAGAAGGGAAUGUCCACGUAAGUGGGAAGAAGGGAGUGGGAGUUUGCUGAGGGGCCAAGGUGUAUAUCCUGACCCAAGACAUGGGUUUUCAACCCAGUCGACACUCAAUCCUGAGAAAAAGGGCACGUUUGCACGACGGUAAGUCUCAUAAGAUGAGGACAUGAGGACUACGUCUUAUUUAUGGCUGUAUCUCUAGAGCCCAAUGAGGUCCAGUGUGACACGGCUCAAAGUGAGCGGUGACUCUUGAACGGAGGCUUUAAUUUAAUGCAGUCAAAAUUAUCACUUGUCUUUAUUAUUAGUGCCUUUUCUUUUCAAGAAAUCCGCUCAUAUCCCAAGGUUGAAUAGUUGUGCUGUUAGAGUUUCUUCUAAAAGUUUUAAAGGUUUGCUUUUCCCCCUUGAUGACUUCAUGCACCUGGAAUUGAUUUUGGUGAAUGGCAUUAGGCAGCGAUCUCAUUUCAUUUUUUUCCAUAUGUGCAAUUAAUUGUCCAGCACCAUGUAUUGCAAACCACUAAUAUAGUCCCCAGUAAUCUGCAGUGCAUCUCCUGUCAGCUGUCAAGCCUUGGUGUGCACGCAAGGUUGGGUUCUGGAUUCUCGAUCCUGCUCCAUGCAUGGAUCCCACCUCUUAGUUGUAAUGAUUUGUCUGUGGAUUUCCUUCACUUUCGUAUUUAAAUAAUCGUCUUGUCUACAAAUAAGGACCGUGAUAGCUUUCCCAUCUUUAUAGUCUUUUCCUUUCCUUGCCUUACUGUCUUAGCUAGGACCUCUACUGUGGAGUGAGUGGAAGUGCUAGUACUGGGUGUUGUUGGCUUGCUGCUGAUUUUAAUAGAAAUGCUUCUAAAAUUCCCUUGCUCUGCCCUAAAUAAGCUAUUUGCUGUAGGUUUUGAUAGAUACUCUGUACUAGGUAGACAGUGUACUUAGAUACCAUAACAAAGACUCUAAACUACAGCCAUUUCAGGGCUCACAUGGCAGCUUGUCAGAAUGAGUGUCUCAGCCCCCUUUUUCAGUUGCUCUGCCAUCCUCAGUGGGGUGCUUCCAUUCUGUGGGCUAAGAAGGCUGCUCUGGCUCCUACCCUCACACUCAUUCCAGCCACUGAGGAGGAGAAAAGGGCUGGGUGGAGGCACUCUCCUUACCUGUCAAGGCAUAACCAGCAAUUGCCAUUAUCACUUCCACUCACGCUCCAUUGGGCAGACCUAGUCACGUGGUCAGACUGCGCCAGGUAGGAAGCUGGGAAACGUCUUGAGUGCAGUCAAGCAUAGGCUCACCUAAAAUUGCUGACACUGUAGAGUGACGGGAGAGUGGAGGCUGCUGACAGCCUGCAUCUCUGCUGCAUGCCCACGUCAGGUUAAGGGGGUUUCCUUCUGUUCCUUGUUUCCUAAGAGCUUUUCUUUUUUGGUGCUUAUUAUAAAUGAGUGGUGAAUUUUAUCAAAGGCUUUCUUCUGCAUUUAUUGAAAUGGUCAGAUUGCUUUGCUCUUUUAAUCUUACAGUGUGAUCCCUUAGAACAAAAUUUCUAAUGUUAAUCCGCUCUUGUCGGCCAGGGAUUCAACCCAAUGUGGUUAUGAUAUGCUGAUUUUAUCUUCUGUGUACACUGCAGGACUUAGUUUCCGACUGUUUUGCUGAGGAUUUUUGCAUCUUUUUCAUGAAUGAGAUAGAUCUGUAAUUUUCCUUUAUCAUAUUUUCUUUAUUUGGUUUUGGUAUAAAAAUCAGUGUUUGGUAUUGCCUAAUAAAAUGCAUUGUCAGGCUUCCUCACCCUCACCCCACCCUCUUCUCUUUUUCUCUAGCCUCUGAAAUGUCUGAGUGAGGUAGGAUUUAUUUGUUCUUUGAAGUUUGAUUAAACUUUGCCUGUAAAACCUUCUGGGCCUGGUGCCUUUGGGGGUUAGAGUGGGGAAAGGGAAUGGGGUACUCACUCACUUUCUCUAGUAGUUAUUGCUUUCUCUAAGUUUGUAUUUCUUCUUGAGUCUGUUUUGAUACUUUAUAUUUUUCUGGAAAAUUGUUGAUUUCUCUAAAUUUUCAGAUUUAUACAUCUAUUCAUGUAUUCAUGUACUAUUUAACUGUUAUCUCUGUAUCUGUAGUUAUAG
Molecule: long non-coding RNA, 3987 nt
Organism: Equus caballus (horse)
Lineage: Eukaryota; Metazoa; Chordata; Mammalia; Perissodactyla; Equidae
Source: Ensembl